UCGAGAAUUUUUCUCAAUGGGGGAAACCCUGAAGGAGCGACGCCGCGUGAAGGAUGAAGGUCUUCGGAUCGUAAACUUCUGUCAUUGGGGAGCAAAGUAUUGGGGAGUAACUGCCCUGGUAUUGAUAGUACCUGAAGAGGAAGGGACGGCUAACUCUGUGCCAGCAGCCGCGGUAAUACAGAGGUCCCGAGCGUUGUUCGGAUUCAUUGGGCGUAAAGGGUGCGUAGGCGGCGCCGCAAGUCAGAUGUGAAAGCCUGGGGCUCAACCCCAGAAGCGCAUUUGAAACUGCGGUGCUAGAGGACUGGAGAGGAGACUGGAAUUCACGGUGUAGCAGUGAAAUGCGUAGAUAUCGUGAGGAAGGCCAGUGGCGAAAGCGGGUCUCUGGACAGGUUCUGACGCUGAGGCACGAAGGCUAGGGGAGCAAACGGGAUUAGAUACCCCCGUAGUCC
RNAcentral lists this ribosomal RNA (449 nucleotides) under uncultured bacterium. Its description in RNAcentral is "bacterial SSU rRNA". It matches the Rfam family "Bacterial small subunit ribosomal RNA", at positions 355 to 796 of the family's 1533-position model. The record is from RNAcentral.